Molecule: transfer RNA, 56 nt
Filed under: Southwellina hispida
Lineage: Eukaryota; Metazoa; Acanthocephala; Palaeacanthocephala; Polymorphida; Polymorphidae
Description: tRNA-Ile
Source: RNAcentral
GAUAUAAUGCUUUGACGCUUCUGAGGGCAUUUAUUGAUGUUAAGUGGUUAAAAUCA